AACGAACGCUGGCGGCAUGCCUAACACAUGCAAGUCGAACGAGACCUUCGGGUCUAUUGGCGCACGGGUGCGUAACGCGUUGGAACCUGCCCUUAGGUUCGGAAUAACUCCCCGAAAGGGGUGCUAAUACCGGAUAAUUUCUUCGGACCAAAGAUUUAUCGCCUUUGGUUGGGCCCGCGUUGGAUUAGAUAGUUGUUAGGGUAAAAGCCUACCAAGGCGACGAUCCAUAGCUGGUCUGAGAGGAUGAUCAGCCACACUGGGACUGAGACACGGCCCAGACUACUACGGGAGGGAGGAGUGGGGAAUAUAGGAAAAUGGGCGAAAGCCUGAUACAGCAAUGACGCGUGAGUGAUGAAGGCCUUAGGGUUGUAAAGCUCUUUUACCCGGGAUGAUAAUGACAGUACCGGGAGAAUAAGCUCCGGCUAACUACGUG
This 433-nucleotide ribosomal RNA is filed under the name uncultured bacterium. RNAcentral describes it as "partial 16S ribosomal RNA". It matches the Rfam family "Bacterial small subunit ribosomal RNA", at positions 29 to 507 of the family's 1533-position model. The record is from RNAcentral.